UUCGGGUGAGAUUCUCACGUGAAAUUUCUAUGAGUGAAAUUUUCCGGUGUAUUAGAUAUUAAAAUAAAAUAGUUAGAACUGCGAAUAAAAAGAGUCGAAAAACAGUGGUUGGUCGACAGGAUUAUGUCAGUCUCUUCAUCUUGUAUGUUUUGGGUUAUUCCUUUGUUGUGUUCCUCCUCUUAUAUUACACCACGGUCAUGCUAGUUUGAUAUUGUUAACUGUCAGAAAUCUUUAAUACUACAUUCCGGGGAUGAUUUUGAUCGAAAGUGACACGGUAUGCAUACAAAGGGGAUAAGUUGACAAAAACUGCAUGCAAUCGACAUUUCGUAAUAGUCUACAGGACCUUGAUGGAAACAAAUUAACACUGCUAUAUUUGUGGUAUUUAGACAAUACUUUGACGACUUUUCUAAGUUAUUAUAACGAUGGUCAAAUGGACUGUCUGUUGUGGAUUACACGCAUAAUAACAUUAUU
Molecule: long non-coding RNA, 471 nt
Filed under: Mytilus galloprovincialis (Mediterranean mussel)
Lineage: Eukaryota; Metazoa; Mollusca; Bivalvia; Mytilida; Mytilidae
Source: RNAcentral